AACUUGAAGGAAUUGACGGAAGGGCACCACCAGGCGUGGAUGCUGCGGCUUAAUUUGACUCAACACGGGGAACCUUACGGGGUUUGGACACAGGUANGAUUGACGGAUUGAAAGCUCUUUCCUGAUUCCGUGGAUGGUGGUGCAUGGCCGAUCUCAGCCCGUGGGUUGACUUGUCAGGUUCACUCCGGUAACGCGCGAGACCCCGACUUACCAAAUAGCGCACCCCGGCAUGCCGGGUGCGGUGCUUCUUGGAGGGACUCCCGGUGAGAGCCGGCUGAAGCCGGGGCAAUAUCAGGUCAGUGAUGCCCUUAGUUAUCCUCGGUUGCACGCGUCCUACAAUGUGGCGUCCAACGAGUUCUUCCCUUGCCCGAGAGGCUUGGGUAAUCUGUGAAGAGCGCCACGUGACGGGGCUAGACUCUUGAUAUUCUUGGUCUUCAACGAGGAAUGCCUAGUAGUCGUGGGUCAGUAUCCCACGACGAUUACGUCCCUGCCCUUUGUACACACCGCCCGUCGCUGAUNCUGAUGGCAGCAUUGACGAAAUCGGGGGAACGGAUGGCCGGCCCUCGGGUCGAGCGACCGGAACCUGCUAAGCCAAUUUGCUANAGGAAUCAAAAGUCNUAACAAGGUCUCCGUUGGGGAACCAGCGGAAGGGAUCAUU
Molecule: ribosomal RNA, 658 nt
Filed under: Codium platylobium
Lineage: Eukaryota; Viridiplantae; Chlorophyta; Ulvophyceae; Bryopsidales; Codiaceae
Description: bacterial SSU rRNA
Rfam family: Eukaryotic small subunit ribosomal RNA
Source: RNAcentral